RNAcentral lists this ribosomal RNA (226 nucleotides) under uncultured bacterium. Its description in RNAcentral is "partial 16S ribosomal RNA". It matches the Rfam family "Bacterial small subunit ribosomal RNA", at positions 16 to 244 of the family's 1533-position model. The record is from RNAcentral.
AUCAUGGCUCAGGAUGAACGCUGGCGGCGUGCCUAAUACAUGCAAGUCGAACGCUUCACUUCGGUGAAGAGUGGCGAACGGGUGAGUAAUACAUAAGUAACCUGGCAUCUACAGGGGGAUAACCUGAUGGAAACGGUCAGCUAAGACCGCAUAGGUGUAGAGAUCGCAUGAACUCUAUAUGAAAAGUGCUACGGGACUGGUAGAUGAUGGACUUAUGGCGCAUUAG